GUGCUCGCUUCAGCAGCAUAUAUACUAAAAUUGGAAUGAAAUAAAGAUUAGCUUGGCCCCUGUGCAGGGAUGACACUUAAAUUUGUGAAUCGUUCCAUAUUUUU
Molecule: small nuclear RNA, 104 nt
Organism: Suncus etruscus (white-toothed pygmy shrew)
Lineage: Eukaryota; Metazoa; Chordata; Mammalia; Eulipotyphla; Soricidae
Source: RefSeq, a predicted model, not a curated record